This 200-nucleotide long non-coding RNA is filed under the name Elaeis guineensis (African oil palm). RNAcentral describes it as "long non-coding RNA (EGUI_LNC062751)". Lineage: Eukaryota; Viridiplantae; Streptophyta; Magnoliopsida; Arecales; Arecaceae. The record is from RNAcentral.
CCUUGAGAUGUGGGAUGUGAAAGAGGAGAGGGAGUCCUUCUCUUGGAAGGAACUCCAUGCCAAAAAUAAGUUGGGACACCCCAUUUAUGGCGUUGAACUGAAGAGUCCAUUUCAACGUGGACUCUUAUUUUCUUCCAUUAAUUUCUAUGUAUUUGUUAAUUCCACGUAACAUCAGAUGUCUCUUGGGAUUAUGGGGGUAG